RNAcentral lists this ribosomal RNA (381 nucleotides) under Synechocystis sp. B12. RNAcentral describes it as "bacterial SSU rRNA". It matches the Rfam family "Bacterial small subunit ribosomal RNA", at positions 386 to 782 of the family's 1533-position model. Lineage: Bacteria; Bacillati; Cyanobacteriota; Cyanophyceae; Synechococcales; Merismopediaceae. The record is from RNAcentral.
CUGCGGACAUACCGCGUGAGGGAGGAAGGUCCUUGGAUUGUAAACCUCUUUUAUCAGGGAAGAAGUUCUGACGGUACCUGAUGAAUAAGCAUCGGCUAACUCCGUGCCAGCAGCCGCGGUAAUACGGAGGAUGCAAGCGUUAUCCGGAAUUAUUGGGCGUAAAGCGUCCGUAGGUGGUUAUGCAAGUCUGCCGUUAAAGAAUGGAGCUUAACUCCAUAGGAGCGGUGGAAACUGCAAGACUAGAGUACAGUAGGGGUAGCAGGAAUUCCCAGUGUAGCGGUGAAAUGCGUAGAUAUUGGGAAGAACAUCGGUGGCGAAAGCGUGCUACUGGGCUGAAACUGACACUGAGGGACGAAAGCUAGGGUAGCGAAAGGGAUUAGA